Molecule: ribosomal RNA, 492 nt
Filed under: uncultured bacterium
Lineage: Bacteria
Description: partial 16S ribosomal RNA
Rfam family: Bacterial small subunit ribosomal RNA
Source: RNAcentral
AGUGAACGCUGGCGGUAGGCCUAACACAUGCGAGUCGAACGGCAGCACAGUAAGAGCUUGCUCUUACGGGUGGCGAGUGGCGGACGGGUGAGGAAUACAUCGGCAUCUACUUUUUCGUGGGGGAUAACGUAGGGAAACUUACGCUAAUACCGCAUACGACCUACGGGUGAAAGCAGGGGAUCUUCGGACCUUGCGCGAUUGAAUGAGCCGAUGUCGGAUUAGCUAGUUGGCGGGGUAAAGGCCCACCAAGGCGACGAUCCGUAGCUGGUCUGAGAGGAUGAUCAGCCACACUGGAACUGAGACACGGUCCAGACUCCUACGGGAGGCAGCAGUGGGGAAUAUUGGACAAUGGGCGCAAGCCUGAUCCAGCCAUACCGCGUGGGUGAAGAAGGCCUUCGGGUUGUAAAGCCCUUUUGUUGGGAAAGAAAAGCAGCAGGUUAAUACCCCGCUGUUCUGACGGUACCCAAAGAAUAAGCACCGGCUAACUUCGUG